GACGAACGCUGGCGGCGUGCUUAACACAUGCAAGUCGAACGGAAAGGCCCUGCAUUUGUGGGGUGCUCGAGUGGCGAACGGGUGAGUAACACGUGAGUAACCUGCCCUUGACUUUGGGAUAACUUCAGGAAACUGGGGCUAAUACCGGAUCGGAGCUCCUGCUGCAUGGUGGGGGUUGGAAAGUUUCGGCGGUUGGGGAUGGACUCGCGGCUUAUCAGCUUGUUGGUGGGGUAGUGGCUUACCAAGGCUUUGACGGGUAGCCGGCCUGAGAGGGUGACCGGCCACAUUGGGACUGAGAUACGGCCCAGACUCCUACGGGAGGCAGCAGUGGGGAAUAUUGCACAAUGGGCGGAAGCCUGAUGCAGCGACGCCGCGUGCGGGAUGACGGCCUUCGGGUUGUAAACCGCUUUCGCCUGUGACGAAGCGUGAGUGACGGUAAUGGGUAAAGAAGCACCGGCUAACUACGUG
Molecule: ribosomal RNA, 468 nt
Filed under: uncultured bacterium
Lineage: Bacteria
Description: partial 16S ribosomal RNA
Rfam family: Bacterial small subunit ribosomal RNA
Source: RNAcentral